This 91-nucleotide transfer RNA is filed under the name Paraperlucidibaca wandonensis. RNAcentral describes it as "tRNA-Ser". It matches the Rfam family "tRNA". From Rfam's summary of the family: Transfer RNA (tRNA) molecules are approximately 80 nucleotides in length. Their secondary structure includes four short double-helical elements and three loops (D, anti-codon, and T loops). Lineage: Bacteria; Pseudomonadati; Pseudomonadota; Gammaproteobacteria; Moraxellales; Moraxellaceae. RNAcentral also lists the same sequence under 2 other names. The record is from RNAcentral.
GGAGAGUUGACCGAGAGGCCGAAGGUGCUCCCCUGCUAAGGGAGUAGGGGUCAUAAGCCCCUCAAGGGUUCGAAUCCCUUACUCUCCGCCA